GAAACAGUCCAGGUGUUCAUGUGAAUGCUAGAACGGACAUCAUCCCUUCCUGCGAUGGCAGGGGCUGUCACAGAUCUUCUUUAAGGGAUUGUGUCUCUGAGCUGGGGAGUCAUUGUGUCACCCACAUUGGUGGGUUAGCUUUACAAAGAGUUAUGUUGCCACAUUGCUGGGUCACAUUAUCCUGCCUCAUCCCUGCCAAAGGGAUCCCAGGAGGAUACAUUGGAUGAAAACCAAUAUUCACUCUAACAAGCACUUACUGAAAUUCCAUUAGGUGCGAAGAACCAUGGAUAAGGUAAACAUCAAGUUCUCACUGAAAUGGCUCCAACUUUCCCGGGCAUGGGGAAGAGAACCUCAAACAAAAAAUCACUCUUCAAGGCCGCUGAAUAAUAAACAUGCCAGAAGAGUCUAAUUCCAUGCAGAGAAAGGAAACAUUGGCCCCUAGGUUUGGAGGUCAACUGCAGUGAGGUCUCUAUACCACAGAGUGGUGAGUCCCCAAGUCCCGGUGAACUUAGGAAAUGGGCAUUAUCCUCUGGAAGACGUUUAUAGAGGUGACUUUUUUGAUGAGGACACCGAGGCAUCAAAAGAAACAUUAAGAAGAUGGAAAUUCUAUCGUAGAGUAAAAUUACAGUGUAUGCUUUGUGAUGCAGUAGUAACAGGUGGAAUUCAAACACUUAAAGAACAAAUUCACCUCAAAGUUAUCUUCCUUUUGGUAGGAGUUUGAAAAAUCUGAACUCCAUCUGAUUUGAUAAAGCAAUUACAGACAAUCAUUUUCCCCUCAAAGUCUGCAUAUUUGACUAAGCUAUAAUCUAAAGAAUCUUCUAGGACUUUGGGAAACUUCUUAGAGGAAAUUUGCAAUUUUGGAGACAUAAAAAUAAAGACAGUGCAUAUUUUAAAGUCAUGGAUCUUCAAAUGAGUAUGCUGAAGCUAACAUUAAUUGCCAAGCUACUCAUCAUCGUGCAGGAAAACUGAUGAUUUUUAAUGAUAUUUUCUCUUUAGUAUAAUUUUGGUUGGAUGAUAAUAAGUUUUUAAAUAAGGUCUUUUCUGGACACCCAUUCAUGUAGACUCCAGUUCCAACCUUAUCAGAGCUGUGAUUUGUCGAUCGUCAGAGCAUGAGUUCUUUGAACAAAAAGGUACACAGCCAAUUACAACUAAACAAACCAACUAAUUACAAUAAUAACUUUGAAAAGCUCUACCCUAGACCGGGUGCUCUCAUUCUCUGGUCAGAAGAUUCUUGGAGCCAAUACAAAAAACAUUUCAAAUCCAUGCGCUUACCAAGCAAUGUCUCUGUGCUAAACAAGUAAUCUUAUGCAAAUACCUGUGCCAUCUCCUAAAAACAUAUUCAGUUAGUUUUACGUUUUAAUAAAUAGAAAACAUUUAAGGGUUACUAAA
Molecule: long non-coding RNA, 1389 nt
Organism: Homo sapiens (human)
Lineage: Eukaryota; Metazoa; Chordata; Mammalia; Primates; Hominidae
Product: long intergenic non-protein coding RNA 393
Source: Ensembl